Molecule: ribosomal RNA, 496 nt
Filed under: uncultured bacterium
Lineage: Bacteria
Description: partial 16S ribosomal RNA
Rfam family: Bacterial small subunit ribosomal RNA
Source: RNAcentral
GAUGAACGCUGGCGGCGUGCCUAAUACAUGCAAGUCGAGCGAACAGAUGAGGAGCUUGCUCCUCUGACGUUAGCGGCGGACGGGUGAGUAACACGUGGAUAACCUACCUAUAAGACUGGGAUAACUUCGGGAAACCGGAGCUAAUACCGGAUAAUAUAUUGAACCGCAUGGUUCAAUAGUGAAAGACGGUUUUGCUGUCACUUAUAGAUGGAUCCGCGCCGCUUAGCUAGUUGGUAAGGUAACGGCUUACCAAGGCAACGAUGCGUAGCCGACCUGAGAGGGUGAUCGGCCACACUGGAACUAAGACACGGUCCAGACUCCUACGGGAGGCAGCAGUAGGGAAUCUUCCGCAAUGGGCGAAAGCCUGACGGAGCAACGCCGCGUGAGUGAUGAAGGUCUUCGGAUCGUAAAACUCUGUUAUUAGGGAAGAACAAAUGUGUAAGUAACUAUGCACGUCUUGACGGUACCUAAUCAGAAAGCCACGGCUAACUACGUG